ACCCGCUGAACUUAAGCAUAUCAAUAAGCGGAGGAAAAGAAACCAACAGGGAUUGCCUCAGUAACGGCGAGUGAAGCGGCAACAGCUCAGAUUUGAAAUCUGGCCCCAUGCGGGGUCCGAGUUGUAGUCUGGAGAGGAUGCUUCGGGGGCGCGGCUGGGUCUAAGUUCCUUGGAACAGGACGUCAGAGAGGGUGAGAAUCCCGUCUGCGGUCCGGCCUCGUCCCCGGGUGAAGCUCCCUCGACGAGUCGAGUUGUUUGGGAAUGCAGCUCAAAUUGGGUGGUAAAUCUCAUCUAAAGCUAAAUACCGGCCAGAGACCGAUAGCGCACAAGUAGAGUGAUCGAAAGAUGAAAAGCACUUUGGAAAGAGAGUUAAACAGCACGUGAAAUUGUUGAAAGGGAAGCGCUUGCGAUCAGACUUGACCGCGAUCCCUCAGCCGUGGGUCUCCCCAUGGUGCACUGGGUCGCGGUCAGGCCAGCAUCGGUUUGGGCGGCGGGAAAAAGACCCCGGGAAUAACCCCACCCGCAGGGGUGAGGUGCCUGGGGUGUCACGCCGUCGCCCGGACCGAGGCCCGCGCUCCGGCAAGGAUGCUGGCGUAAUGGUCGU
RNAcentral lists this ribosomal RNA (604 nucleotides) under uncultured fungus. RNAcentral's name for it is "eukaryotic LSU rRNA". It matches the Rfam family "Eukaryotic large subunit ribosomal RNA", at positions 23 to 641 of the family's 3401-position model. The record is from RNAcentral. Lineage: Eukaryota; Fungi.